RNAcentral lists this ribosomal RNA (246 nucleotides) under Triticum aestivum (bread wheat). Its description in RNAcentral is "partial small subunit ribosomal RNA". The record is from RNAcentral. Lineage: Eukaryota; Viridiplantae; Streptophyta; Magnoliopsida; Poales; Poaceae.
AUGGCCGUCACCGAAAGGUCUUUCCAUGUGAGAAAUACCUCCGUAGUACCGGGCUCUACAUUGUCUACCACCCCACUAGCCGGCGGCUCGGAGUCGGAGAGACAACGCGGGAAGAAGAUGGGGCUGGACGGCCACGUCGACCAUCCGCGCCAUGAAACCAUGGCGGUGCUCGACGACGUCGUCGACCGGAGUGGCUUGGUAGGGCUCGGCGUCGGAGCCCAUCUCGGCAGCGGUGACGCUAAAUGA